AGAGUUUGAUUCUGGCUCAGAACGAACGCUGGCAGCGUGGAUUAGGCAUGCAAGUCGAACGAGAAGCCCUGGUCUCAAUCUUCGGAGAGAAACCAGGGUGGACAGUGGCGGAAGGGUGAGUAACGCGUGGGCAAUUUGCCUCCGGAUUGGGGACAACUCCGCGAAAGCGGGGCUAAUACCGAAUAUGGUCUCCUGUCGCAUGACGGGAAGAUUAAAGAUGGGGAUUCUUCGGAACCUGUCGUCUGGAGAGGAGCCCGCGUACGAUCAGCUUGUUGGUGAGGUAACGGCUCACCAAGGCUUUGACCGUUAGCCGGCCUGAGAGGGUGAUCGGCCACACUGGGACUGAGACACUGCCCAGACUCCUACGGGAGGCUGCAGUCGAGGAUCAUUCGCAAUGCGCGAAAGCGUGACGAUGCGACGCUGCGUGUAGGAUGACGGCCUUCGGGUUGUAAACUACUGUCAUGAGGGAAAAACCAGCGAUGGGACAAUACCCCAUCGCUCUGAUGGUACCUCAAGAGGAAGCCACGGCUAACUCUGUGCCAGCAGCCGCGGUAAUACAGAGGUGGCUAGCGUUGUUCGGAUUUACUGGGCGUAAAGCGUGCGUAGGCGGUUCCGUGUGUCGGGUGUGAAAUCCCACGGCUUACCCGUGGAAUGGCACCCGAAACUGCGGGGCUAGAGUGCAGGAGGGGAGAGCGGAAUUCUUAGUGUAGCGGUGAAAUGCGUUGAUAUUAAGAAGAACACCGGCGGCGAAGGCGGCUCUCUGGAAUGUAACUGACGCUGAGGCACGAAAGUUGGGGGAGCAAACAGGAUUAGAUACCCUGGUAGUCCCAACCGUAAACGGUGUGAACUUGGUGUAGGGGGUAUUGACCCCCCCUGUGCCGGAGCUAACGCGUUAAGUUCACCGCCUGGGGAGUACGGCCGCAAGGCUAAAACUCAAAGAAAUUGACGGGGGCCCGCACAAGCGGAGGAGCAUGUGGCUUAAUUCGAUGCAACGCGAAGAACCUUACCUGGGCUUGACAUGGGGACCCUUCGGGGGUGGUAGCGAAAGUUACCUUUACCAUCACAGGUGCUGCAUGGCUGUCGUCAGUUCGUGCCGUGAGGUGUUUGGUUAAGUCCAGCAACGAACGCAACCCUUGUGACUAGUUACCAGCGUCGGUGAUGAGCCGGCAGGCACUCUAGUCAGACUGCCCGUACAAGCGGGAGGAAGGUGGGGAUGACGUCAAGUCAGUAUGGCCCUUACGCCCAGGGCUGCACACGUGCUACAAUGGUCAGUACAGAAGGAUGCAAAACCGCAAGGUCGAGCAAAUCCCCAAAAGCUGGCCCCAGUUCGGAUUGGAGUCUGCAACUCGACUCCAUGAAGUCGGAUUCGCUAGUAACGGCGUAUCAGCUACGACGCCGUGAAUACGUUCCCGGGCCUUGUACACACCGCCCGUCACAUCAUGAAAGCCGUCUGCACCCGAAGUCGCUGAGCCAACCCGCAAGGGAGGCAAGUGCCGAAGGUGUGGGUGGUGAUUG
RNAcentral lists this ribosomal RNA (1515 nucleotides) under metagenome. Its description in RNAcentral is "bacterial SSU rRNA". It matches the Rfam family "Bacterial small subunit ribosomal RNA". The record is from RNAcentral.